UACGUAGGGCGCAAGCGUUUGUCCGGAAUUAUUGGGCGUAAAGAGCUCGUAGGCGGCUUGUCGCGUCGAUUGUGAAAGCCCGGGGCUUAACUCCGGGUCUGCAGUCGAUACGGGCUAGCUAGAGUGUGGUAGGGGAGAUCGGAAUUCCUGGUGUAGCGGUGAAAUGCGCAGAUAUCAGGAGGAACACCGGUGGCGAAGGCGGAUCUCUGGGCCAUUACUGACGCUGAGGAGCGAAAGCGUGGGGAGCGAACAGG
This 254-nucleotide ribosomal RNA is filed under the name uncultured bacterium. RNAcentral's name for it is "partial 16S ribosomal RNA". It matches the Rfam family "Bacterial small subunit ribosomal RNA", at positions 524 to 776 of the family's 1533-position model. The record is from RNAcentral.